Molecule: long non-coding RNA, 714 nt
Organism: Cygnus olor (mute swan)
Lineage: Eukaryota; Metazoa; Chordata; Aves; Anseriformes; Anatidae
Exons: 3
Source: RefSeq, a predicted model, not a curated record
AGCAGAGGCUGCUCACAGCCCCGCUCAGCUGGGGAACAAGCCUCACCUGAUGCGGGGGGGGGGGACAUGAGCUUCGGGGGACCUGUCUGCCUUCUGCGGGGGGCCCUGAGCUGGCAGCACCAGGGACCCCUGGACUGACAUCCCUGGACCUUUGAACUGGUGUCCCCAGGGAUGUUGGCAUCCCUUGAGGCCAUGGAGACUUCUGUGCUGGCGUCCCUGGGGACACUUGAGAUGGCAUCUCCGGGGAUCACUGAGGCUGGCAUCCAUGGAGACCUCUGCAUCAGCACGGGAACCCCAAAGUUGGGUUCUCUGGACCCCAUGGCUGGUGUCCUCAGGGAUGCUGGUGUCCACAAGGAUGCUGGUGUCCUCGGGGAUGGUGGUGUCCCCGGGGAUGCUCGCAUCCCCUGAGGCCACAGAGACCUCUGUGCUCACGUGGAGACUGCAGUCCUGGCACCCCUGGGGUUCCCCGGGUCUCCUUGGAGACCCUCAAGCUGGCAUCCCCCGGGAGGAGGAACAGGUUGAGGAAGGUCUGGAUGACGAGGGGCACCUCGGACUUGACGAUGUACAGCGUUAUGGCGAUGGCCGCAGCCAGCUUGCCCGGCGUGCCGAAGGCUCGGUAGCCCAACUGCUCAUAGGCACGGAUGCCUGUGGGGAGAGGGGAUGCAGUGAGGGCUGAGGGGGGACCCGGGCACAGCCCCACCGGCUGCUGGGGUC